This 76-nucleotide transfer RNA is filed under the name Chloroflexota bacterium. RNAcentral's name for it is "tRNA-Ala". It matches the Rfam family "tRNA". From Rfam's summary of the family: Transfer RNA (tRNA) molecules are approximately 80 nucleotides in length. Lineage: Bacteria; Bacillati; Chloroflexota. The record is from RNAcentral.
GGGCCUGUAGCUCAGUUGGGAGAGCAUCGCGUUCGCAUCGCGGGGGUCGCCGGUUCGAGUCCGGCCAGGUCCACCA